This 253-nucleotide ribosomal RNA is filed under the name uncultured bacterium. RNAcentral describes it as "partial 16S ribosomal RNA". It matches the Rfam family "Bacterial small subunit ribosomal RNA", at positions 524 to 776 of the family's 1533-position model. The record is from RNAcentral.
UACAGAGGUCCCAAGCGUUGUUCGGAUUCACUGGGCGUAAAGGGUGCGUAGGUGGUUAGGUAAGUCCGAUGUGAAAUCUCCAGGCUCAACCUGGAAAUGGCAUUGGAUACUAUUUAGCUUGAGGAGUGGAGGGGGGACUGGAAUACUUGGUGUAGCAGUGAAAUGCGUAGAUAUCAAGUGGAACACCAGUGGCGAAGGCGAGUCCCUGGACAACUCCUGACACUGAGGCACGAAAGCUAGGGGAGCAAACAGG